RNAcentral lists this ribosomal RNA (404 nucleotides) under uncultured bacterium. RNAcentral describes it as "bacterial SSU rRNA". It matches the Rfam family "Bacterial small subunit ribosomal RNA", at positions 356 to 774 of the family's 1533-position model. The record is from RNAcentral.
GGGGAAUAUUGGGCAAUGGGCGAAAGCCUGACCCAGCAACGCCGCGUGAAGGAAGAAGGCCCUCGGGUUGUAAACUUCUUUUAUUCGGGACGAAACAAAUGACGGUACCGAAUGAAUAAGCCACGGCUAACUACGUGCCAGCAGCCGCGGUAAUACGUAGGUGGCGAGCGUUAUCCGGAUUUACUGGGUGUAAAGGGCGUGUAGGCGGGACUGCAAGUCAGAUGUGAAAAUUAUGGGCUCAACCCAUAACCUGCCGUUGAAACUGGGAGUCUUGAGUAUGGAUGAAGUAGGCGGAAUUCGUUGUGUAGCGGUGACAUGCAUAGAUAUAACGAGGAACUCCGAUUGCGUAGGCAGCUUACUACGCCAUGACUGACGCUCAUGCACGAAAGCGUGGGGAUCAAACA